RNAcentral lists this long non-coding RNA (974 nucleotides) under Homo sapiens (human). RNAcentral's name for it is "HSALNT0188961". Lineage: Eukaryota; Metazoa; Chordata; Mammalia; Primates; Hominidae. The record is from RNAcentral.
GUCCUUAUCAUCUGUUCCAUCAAUAUGUACUUUGUAGUGGUUUAUGUCCGGGACCUAGGGCAUGUGGCAUUAUAUGUGGUGGCUGCUGUGGUCAGCGUGGCUUAUCUGGGCUUUGUGUUCUACUUGGGUUGGCAAUGUUUGAUUGCACUGGGCAUGUCCUUCCUGGACUGUGGGCAUACGUGCCAUCUGGGAUUGACAGCUCAGCCUGAACUCUAUCUUCUGAACACCAUGGACGCUGACUCACUUGUGUCUAGAUGACUGACAGCCUGAGAGACUCUAUAAGAACAUGUUUUUCUAAGCCCUUUUUGUGCCAGGUGUCCCGUUAACGUCUCUGUUAGUUCAGAGGUGAGUUUUGUUCAGACGUUUUGAACAAAAGGCAAAGAUUUCCUCAUGGGAAGGGUGUUCAAAACUGACAGCUAUAAAUGUAGGUCAGAGACCCACCCACCUCAUAACAGUCAUACACUCCCAGAGUUAAACGAUUGGCCUCUGAUGGCCACACACCCCUAUGGGCUUGUGUCUUGGACUCUGGGAUUUAAAAGAUAUAUAUGUAUAUAUAUUUAUGUAAACCUGAGCAUCUCAGUUUGGGUAGAGUUUUAAGGUUAUAUGAAACUGAUAGAACUUUUGUAUUUUUUUUUUAAAUAUUGUUUUGAUAUAUCAGAUAUUUGUUUUGUCUGGAUCACAAGUGAGAAAGAAAAGAGAACAAUGCUCUUUUUCACAAUGAACUGGUCAAAUUGACUAUCUUGUAAAGUGAUACUUUACUAUGUCAGUGAAAUUUCAGUUUGAUUUUAGUCAACCAGAUUAUAUCCUUUGUAUCUACUGAUAUUAACACAUCAUAUUAACACAUCAUUUCUUAAAAAAACAUUUCUUCUGUUUGGCAAUCAUAAUUAACUCUGGUUAUCAGCCUAUUUUGUAAUUAUUGUCUUUGUCGUCACUUUUCUUGAAUUGUUUUCUAGUCAUUAAACAGAUAUGAAGGC